RNAcentral lists this ribosomal RNA (446 nucleotides) under uncultured bacterium. Its description in RNAcentral is "partial 16S ribosomal RNA". It matches the Rfam family "Bacterial small subunit ribosomal RNA", at positions 338 to 795 of the family's 1533-position model. The record is from RNAcentral.
CCUACGGGUGGCAGUAGUCGAGAAUCAUUCACAAUGGGGGAAACCCUGAUGCUGCGACGCCGCGUGGGGGAAUGAAGGUCUUCGGAUUGUAAACCCCUGUCAUGUGGGAGCAAAUUAAAAAGAUAGUACCACAAGAGGAAGAGACGGCUAACGCUGUGCCAGCAGCCGCGGUAAUACAGCGGUCUCAAGCGUUGUUCGGAAUCACUGGGCGUAAAGCGUGCGGAGGCGGUUUCGUAAGUCGUGUGUGAAAGGCGCGGGCUCAACCCGCGGACGGCACAUGAUACUGCGAGACUAGAGUAAGGGAGAGGGAACCGGAAUUCUCGGUGUAGCAGUGAAAUGCGUAGAUAUCGGGAGGAACACUCGUGGCGAAGGCGGCUUCCUGGACAUUAACUGACGCUGAGGCACGAAAGCCAGGGGAGCGAAAGGGAUUAGAUACCCGGGUAGUC